This is a long non-coding RNA of Manduca sexta (tobacco hornworm), 464 nucleotides long. RefSeq lists it as uncharacterized. Lineage: Eukaryota; Metazoa; Arthropoda; Insecta; Lepidoptera; Sphingidae. The transcript has 2 exons. The record is from RefSeq and is a predicted model, not a curated record.
CAAUGACAGGCAACAGGACCGAGCACAUCGGUUUUUACACCAAAAAUACAUUUUAUCAUUAUUUGAUCUAAUUUUUAGUGAAUACGAAAACACACAUAAAAAGGUAAUAAAACGGUUCGAACGUACAUAAAAAAUAGUACGAGAGGCAGUUGGUCUGCGGAGAGCAUGAAACAGGCCAUUGAUGUAGUUUUGAGUAAAAUAGCAGGCUACAGAAAAGCCUCUCAACUGUAUAAUGUUCUGCAGACGGUCUUUCCCAAUCCCAAGUACUGUACUUGGCGUUGUUAGCUAAGUACCCCAUACUGCCCCUACCCUGGGGCACAAUGGGGUUUUAUUGAGAGUUUAAUAUUUUUUUAUUUUCUUUUUUAUUUGAUUAUUUAUACUACCAAAUUAUAUGCGAAAUGUUAGUUUAAUAAGUUACAUAAGUGUUUCAAUUACAUUUAAUUAAUAAAAAUAUCCUGAUUAUA